UUUCUUUCCCUUUUCUUUCUUUAUUUUUGAGGAAGGAAAGAAAAAAGGAAUCCACACAUUAAGAUAACAAGAAACAGUGCUACCACAUUGAAAAUCCGGGGGAAAUAUUUUGCAGUUCAUGAAAACUCAGUUCACAUAUGCAACAAGCUGCUUUGAUGACUGAGCCAUAACUCUGCCAUAUUUGGAAGGGAUUAAGCUGGAAGCUUGUGGACCUCACAAAUUGCUGAGGAUUCUCCCAGAUCCUGUCUCUUGUGAACUGCACACCUUCGAGAAAGAAGCAGCAUCGUUUCUUCAUUUUUACCUGGCCACUUCAACAACCUUUCAACCUGAAAUAAAGAAACGAGCAAGUUGGAGCAUA
Long non-coding RNA from Pantherophis guttatus, 358 nucleotides. RefSeq lists it as uncharacterized. Lineage: Eukaryota; Metazoa; Chordata; Lepidosauria; Squamata; Colubridae. The record is from RefSeq and is a predicted model, not a curated record.